GCUUUUUGACUAGUGGAAAUGUUCCCAGUACUGUUACAGUAACUUUAGAAUAUUAGAAUGUAAACUGAAGAAGGUAAAGUAAGUGUGUGGCUUUUAUACAGAUAGAUUUUUAGAGGAGGUGGUCUCAUAUUCAUUCAUUUCAUAGGAGGAAAUUCUCAUAUCUUUCCUGUUAUUCAUCAUCUAACUUGUCAUUGUUAAAAGUAGCUGAAUUUGCAAAGCAUAGAUCAUCUAACAAUGGGCUAUUUGCCUUGAAAGUCAAAGGCAAUCCAAUGGCAGAACAUUGUAUUGUGGCAGAAGGUUAAAAAAAUUUCCCAGUUUUGAGAAUAUCUUGGUUACUGUUUGGAACACUGAACCCACAUGUUAGCCAUAUGAAAUAGGAAAGAUACAUAAAAAAAAAAAAAAAAAGCAGAAAUAAAAUGGGAUUAAAAAAAUAAAAUAUGGUUCCCUCUGCUGUAACUAAAACCACCUUCAUUUUGAUUCCCAGAACUGGCCACUACAGGAAGAAACAUUGAAACAUUUCAUUCAUGAGUGGGAUCAAAUUUGCUUAAUUCCUGCCAAGUCUCCACCAGAAAAGGAAUUUCCAACAGCCACUGGAGAUAAAGAUGUGGUCAACGUGGUUCAAUUUCCAGCUAGGACAUAAUUUGCACAAUAACCUGAAGUUGAAAUUAAUACUAAGAAACAAGCUGUACUGUGCGUAAGAAAAAUCCAUUAACCCAUCUGCAUUAGAGGGAGAAGCUGACCAAUGGAGUUGAAGCACAUUUGUUAUACUCUAAGAAGAAAGUUUCAGACAAAUAUCACAGGAACCAGGAUGACACUCCAAUAAGGUAACUUUAGGUUUAAUCUUAGCUGCAAAUAAGAAUAUUAUUAUGAUGAUUUAUCUUGUCUAAAGGACUCAGAAGAAAUCAGAUCCCUAAUGUGAAAUCAUAUCCAGCAGAAGUUGUUACCUUCCAAGUGGAGCUUGUUUCUUAAGUAGGUAAAGGUAAGGAUUCACUUCAAGAUAGAAGAACAAAACUGAGUUGUCCAAAGUGAUAGUGUUGGUCAGUAACAGAGCUAA
Molecule: long non-coding RNA, 1054 nt
Filed under: Anas platyrhynchos platyrhynchos (common mallard)
Lineage: Eukaryota; Metazoa; Chordata; Aves; Anseriformes; Anatidae
Description: lncRNA (ENSAPLG00000023354.1)
Source: RNAcentral